Molecule: long non-coding RNA, 1216 nt
Filed under: Anser cygnoides (Swan goose)
Lineage: Eukaryota; Metazoa; Chordata; Aves; Anseriformes; Anatidae
Description: lncRNA (ENSACDG00005005564.1)
Source: RNAcentral
AUGUUAAUGUACAGCAAGAGAUAUCCAUGCACAAGAAGACACAAAGUGGGAUCUGUGAAUCCGUUUAGCCACCACACAGGAGUGAGAGAUUAUUCAAUUACCGUGGCUGGGUGGAAACAAGCAAGUGCAACAUCAAACUAUGUUGGGCAUUUCUUCAAUGGAUAUUUUGUUCUAAAUCAAAGCAUAUUGCCAACUAAUAAGGUAAACACAAUGCAGUUCAGUUAGGAAAGAAGUAGGUUAAACCAGCUGUUCAUUUACUUUCUCUGCGUCAGAAGCAGGAACUCAGUGAGUUCCUUGAACUCGGCAUUCUCUUUUCUUUCAACUUUGUAUAUAUGCCUUCACAAUCUCCUGGUUUUUUUUUGUUGUUUUUUUUUUCCCCUUCAUACUGCAGGCAAUAACUGUGAAACUCUUUAAUUUAACAAUAUGUUCUUUGUCCUGCAACUGUUCCUGUUUUGCAACCACAUAGAUUAUAUGUAUGGGCCUGUAGGAAUAGUCAAACAGUUAAUAAGGGUAGGGUUUGGCAUGCUUUCACUAUGUACAAAUUCUACAAUCAAGUCCUGACAGGAAAGCACUGUAUCUCGUGUGGUUCCCAGUCCUGACUAAAAUAUGCAAAAUAUGACUACUGGGAAUGAUACCUAUUUCCCAAAGGAUAAUACCUUUUUUUUUUUUUUUUUUCUUAUCAAUGCAUCAUUGAAAAGUAUUUUGUUUAUAUUUAUGCCAUUUAUUUUCCCAAGCAUACUAGGUUUUCAAAAGUGACCCAUGGUUCAUUGUGCUUAAGAUAUAGAGGUGUUAUUUCAAAUUGUGUUACACCCUUAAUACAGUGUGAAUGAAAGAACUACAAAGAGACCUAUACCAAAUAACUGUAUUAACCCCUGAGGUUAAAUACUCAUCUGCAUGAUUCUCUGGCUCUUCUGGUUCACCCAUGUGCCCUGUGCUUGAGUGUAGUGCACAUCCUACAAGAAGAUAGAAAUGCACUGUGCAAAGGGCACUGCAGCACAGAGGUACUGCAAACAGGAUGAGGAGAGCAAGGGUCUACUCUUCAAAGCAGCUGCACAAACUCAGUUACUGAUCCUGCUGAUGAGAUGGGAACCUGAGUAAAAUCCAAUGUGUUCCUCUAGGGUUGCAUCAAGAGCAUCAGGAACACAAGGCAGGGAACACAGUAAACAAAAACCACUUUAUUUGUAUCUAAUAAAGUAAACAGUCAUCAGUGUGAACA